UACGUAUGUCGCGAGCGUUAUCCGGAAUUAUUGGGCAUAAAGGGCAUCUAGGCGGCCUAACAAGUCAGGGGUGAAAACCUGCGGCUCAACCGCAGGCCUGCCUUUGAAACUGUAAGGCUGGAGUACCGGAGAGGUGGACGGAACUGCACGAGUAGAGGUGAAAGUCGUAGAUAUGUGCAGGAAUGCCGAUGAUGAAGAUAGUCCACUGGACGGAAACUGACGCUGAAGUGCGAAAGCCGGGGGAGCGAACAGG
RNAcentral lists this ribosomal RNA (253 nucleotides) under uncultured bacterium. Its description in RNAcentral is "partial 16S ribosomal RNA". It matches the Rfam family "Bacterial small subunit ribosomal RNA", at positions 524 to 776 of the family's 1533-position model. The record is from RNAcentral.